This 407-nucleotide ribosomal RNA is filed under the name uncultured bacterium. RNAcentral's name for it is "partial 16S ribosomal RNA". It matches the Rfam family "Bacterial small subunit ribosomal RNA", at positions 29 to 526 of the family's 1533-position model. The record is from RNAcentral.
AUUGAACGCUGGCGGCAGGACUAACACAUGCAAGUCGAGCGGAGCGGCGGACGGGUGAGUAAUGCCUAGGAAUCUGCCUGGUAGUGGGGGAUAACGUACGGAAACGGGCGCUAAUACCGCAUACUAGCAGAUGAGCAUAGGUCGGAUUAGCUAGUAGGUGGGGUAACGGCUCACCAAGGCGACGGUCCAUAGCUGGUCUGCGAGGAUGGCCAGCCACACUGGAACUGAGACACGGUCCAGACUCAUACGGGAGGCAGCAGUGGGGAAUAUUGCACAAUGGGCGCAAGCCUGAGGCAGCCAUGCCGCGUGUGUGAAGAAGGCCUGCGGGUUGUAAAGCACUUUCAGCGGGGAGGCGUUACCCGCAGAAGAAGCACCGGCUAACUCCGUGCCAGCAGCCGCGGUAAUUC